RNAcentral lists this transfer RNA (77 nucleotides) under Acidobacteriota bacterium. RNAcentral's name for it is "Acidobacteria bacterium (groundwater metagenome) tRNA-Met". It matches the Rfam family "tRNA". From Rfam's summary of the family: Transfer RNA (tRNA) molecules are approximately 80 nucleotides in length. Their secondary structure includes four short double-helical elements and three loops (D, anti-codon, and T loops). Further hydrogen bonds mediate the characteristic L-shaped molecular structure. tRNAs have two regions of fundamental functional importance: the anti-codon, which is responsible for specific mRNA codon recognition, and the 3' end, to which the tRNAs corresponding amino acid is attached (by aminoacyl-tRNA synthetases). tRNAs cope with the degeneracy of the genetic code in two manners: having more than one tRNA (with a specific anti-codon) for a particular amino acid; and 'wobble' base-pairing, i.e. permitting non-standard base-pairing at the 3rd anti-codon position. The record is from RNAcentral. Lineage: Bacteria; Pseudomonadati; Acidobacteriota. RNAcentral also lists the same sequence under 6 other names.
CGCGGGGUGGAGCAGUCUGGUAGCUCGUUGGGCUCAUAACCCAAAGGUCGCUGGUUCAAAUCCAGCCCCCGCAACCA